Molecule: ribosomal RNA, 407 nt
Filed under: uncultured bacterium
Lineage: Bacteria
Description: partial 16S ribosomal RNA
Rfam family: Bacterial small subunit ribosomal RNA
Source: RNAcentral
AUUGAACGCUGGCGGCAGGCCUAACACAUGCAAGUCGAGCGGAGCGGCGGACGGGUGAGUAAUGACUAGGAAUCUGCCUGGUAGUGGGGGAUACCGUCCGGGGACGGGCGCUAAUACCGCAUACUAGCAGGUGAGCCUAGGUCGUCGUGGCUGGUUGGUGGGGUAAAGGCCUACCAAGGCGACGAUCCGUAACUGGCCUGAGAGGAUGAUCAGUCACACUGGAACUGAGACACGGUCCAGACUCCUACGGGAGGCAGCAGUGGGGAAUAUUGGACAAUGGGCGAAAGCCUGACCCAGCAAUGCCGCGUGUGUGAAGAAGGUCUUCGGAUUGUAAAGCACUUUUAGUUGGGAGGCGUUACCAACAGAAUAAGCACCGGCUAACUUCGUGCCAGCAGCCGCGGUAAUUC